Long non-coding RNA from Ceratitis capitata (Mediterranean fruit fly), 591 nucleotides. RefSeq lists it as uncharacterized. NCBI's taxonomy places the organism in Eukaryota, Metazoa, Arthropoda, Insecta, Diptera, Tephritidae. The record is from RefSeq and is a predicted model, not a curated record. The transcript has 2 exons.
AAACAAAAUUUAUAAAAUUUUCGUUUUUGUAUUCUUACUAAACCGCGUAUGAAUUUGUCUCGAAUAUGACGAAGAAAUUUUUUUCGUAGAUUUCGUCUUUCCAAAAUUAGAGCAAAAUACGUUUUGAAAGAAAAUAGAAAGCAAAAUCAGAAGCCACACUAAAAAGAAUAAAGCUGCGGAAGUUUGUGCUCCGGGUUUGUGCGGAAUAAAAGUGGCGACUGCCAGUUAGAUGGUAAAUAGUAUCCAUCGCAGUAACGGCACUUGUCCAAUCAUUCCUCAGAAUGACGAAAAAAUCUCAAUGCGCACAUUUCACUCAAUAACGAAGUUUGCAAAGGUAUUGGUGUUGGGUGGAACUUGCCAAAAUUGCUGACUGAACCACCGGUUUGAGCAAAACAGAUUUAGGGGCUACUUUCCAUUGGGCGACAGUGAUUUGGAGUUAGAAACUACAUGAUGUGUCAACGUUUACAUCCCAAUCUGCGCACUGAACGGGCUUACAAUGAAUAUCAAAUACCUCCACCUUCGAGUGUACUUCUGACAUGAAAAUCAAAAAUCAAAUGCCCCUCAAAAACAAAAAAAAAAAAAAAAAAAAAA